Phalacrocorax carbo (great cormorant) is the source of this 5267-nucleotide non-coding RNA. Lineage: Eukaryota; Metazoa; Chordata; Aves; Suliformes; Phalacrocoracidae. The record is from RefSeq and is a predicted model, not a curated record.
CAGGCAUAAAUCAGGAUAUCUGCUGCACAGUGUGAACAUUGGCUAAUCUUGCCAGGAUUUCAGACAGUCACGUGCAAUCCUAUCCUCUCCGACUGCUGCACUUGAAGAAUCAUCAUAGCUUCUGGGCCUGUGAAAGUGCAACUUGUACACUUCCUUUCUGCUGCUUCCUGAAGAAGACAGAUGCAUCUUUUUUUCUUUUUUAAAGUUGGAAACUUUAGGAAAUGUGUUUUUGUUUUGCUUGGAGGGAAUUUUGGAAAUGAAUUGUUUUUUAACUCCAACUUGCGAUGCACACUUUGGAUUGAAAUAAAAUCUGGAAAUAGUGAUCUGUCAGGAGAAGCUGAAACCACAUUCUCUGGGUGUGAUCAUAAAACUUUCUGCUGCAGCUUCUAAUCAGGUGAGAACUCCAACUAAAAUUGAUAGAAACCCUGCCUGUGGAGUUUUGGCCUUGAGAAGUGAGCUUUGAACCAAAAAAAAAAAAAAGAAAAGGAAUUAAUGCCAGAAAAAACAAGGUAGCCCAAAGACCUGUUUCUAAAGUAAAAACCGCACUGAAAACAUUAAUGAUGGAGUUCAACCGAUGUCUCAAAAGAGGUAAUACAAUAUUGCAUGAAAGAAAAACUUAGCACAAUUUUACAGAAAUAGAUGAAAGAAAAGAAUAUGAGAGUUGAAAUUCUGGUAGGUUUAAGGGCAUUAAGAAACAUCAACACCAUGGCAAUUAAGAAUCCAACCUGCAAGGACAAGUCUUGUUCAAGGGCAAGUGGGGAUGCCAGUAUGAACAAGGGUCAUUACCAGAUAAGGCUGCUAUGGGCUGACCCUUUCCACUGUUAUCCAAUCCAUGCAUUACUGAAAAUAUGUUAAGUGAAGGGACUUAACCGAGCAAUGUCCUUCUAGGAAGACUAGAUGUAACCCUUAGCCUUGGUUGCAUAGUCAGUGGUUGCCUAAACCACACUGGUGGUGUUCUGUGGUCAACUGCAGCUGUGCAAGUGAAAAGUUUGUGCUUCCUACUCUCUCCUCCAUAACCAUUUCUUUUGGGUCCUCUUCCCCAUCACCUAGCUAGGGUUGUAAGCCUAUGAAGCAAUCCACACAAAGUUGUACGUGAGUCUGUUGGCAUUACAACUCCUUUGGCAUUUCUGUGAUGCCCAGUCCCUACUUGCUCACAGUAUUAGGAAUUGCCUCUACUCAGGUCACACAGCUCAGUCUAGUAAAGUUUUGAUCUGUGGCUUGGGGUCUGUGCACCACUAAGUCUGCAGGAUUAGUGUCUGACUCAUUAUUUUUUGUUUAUGCUGUCCUCAGGUGGCAAUCUCAUUCUCAGUAGGAGCUUAAUUUUCUGGUGUCCUUUUAGGAAGAAUUGCAUGACCAGGUGGAAAUGUUUUGGAAACUGAUGGCAGCUGAUCUGUAUUCCAGUAUAAAUGGCAACUAGCAGUAAUUAGAUGCUUAGGAAAUAUUAUCUAAUAUUACAUCCUACAACCUGCUAUUCUCUUCUGUGAAAAAAAACCACUAUUCAUCUGAUCAAUGAGAUCUUUCUCUCUUUUGAAUCUUCUAAAGAAAGUUGUAAGUCUCUGGAAUGUUUUGUAAUUUAACCUUCAUACAGAGAUGAGCUGCAUGUCCAACCACUUGGUUUCAAAUAUAGCUAACAAAAAAGGGUUAAAAAACCUUCCCUGCUCUGGGACAGAAAUGCUCUUCUAGAGUAGUUAAUUCAAUCAAUUGUCAACAGACAAAUGACCUCAUAAAUCAAAGGAACCUAUGGAGAGAUCAGCGUGGAAAUUGCAAGAAGAUAUAUCAGUGAUAAAAGUCGUCUUACUGUGAGAUUCAGUGUUCCCUCUGGCUGUCUGGGUGGAGUUAAUGAUGUGUGGAGUUAAACACUCUGCUCUUCUGCCCUCCCUGUAACUCACAAGAAGACCCAGGUUUCUCUCUCAAGUGUAGGACUGGCCCAAAACUCCUGCACCACGAGAUGACUUGGGAUAAAAGGAGUCCAAUGAACUCCGUUUUCAAAGCAACUGGAGGAAAUCGGUCAAUGCAGUCUGCGUGUGAAAUGAUUUUUGUGUAAUUUAAGUCCGAAGUAAGAAAAUCACAUGUAAAGGUAAGUCACUAAAACUCAAGGAGGAUAAAACAAAAGGCAAAAUAUGCAACUGCAAAAGCUGUUCCACUUGUGUGUGUAAAUCAGGAGACUGUGUUCAAGUGGCGAAUUAGGCUGCGUUGCCUGCUGUUAUGCAUUUAAAUUAAGCAGGAACCUAAUAGCUUUUUGAAAUCUGGCCCUAAGUGUUUGGUUUGUUUGUUGGUUUGGGUUUUUUGGUUUUCUUGGGGUUUGUUUUUUAUUUUUUCCUCAGGGAAGAGAUAAUCUAAUCAAAUUAGUGCUUUAGAAGAAAGAACACUUAAUACUGAACAUGAGUGAGGAGCUCUAACUACUGAUAGAAACUCCACUGACUCCACUGCUUAGAAUGACCCCAUUUCCCAGCACAAUUGUUUAUUUGUUUUAGAAAGAGAGAAGUUUCCCUCACUCAGGUGGUACACAGCUCAGACUUGGGAAAGGUGUUUUGUUUUCACUCUCCAACACAUCAGAGCACAGAUGGGAACAUCAACAGGAACUGCUCCCAUGAGAGGGCAGGACAGCAAUUGAACAACGCUGCAUUGACCCAACAACCUUGCAUGGACGACAUCAGGCUGAGUAAGGGGAUCCUGCCAGGGGACUGAUGGAGUGUAUCUUGACAUAAAUGCUUUUUAUGAUUGAUUUUCAAGUAGAGAUCAUCACUGGCCCAUCAACAAGGGUCUUGGAGGACCUCCACUUUGCAGAGCAUGCAAUGAGGAGAAAUACUGAUUGCUCUGGGGUAAGGAAAGGAUGAGAAGAAGCAGGUGAGGCAGCCUGAGCUACCUUCACUUGCAGCAGCUUCACAAAAUGUCCUAAUCACACACAGAAAACCAGUUGGAGGUUAUACAAACCGCUUGUGCUUACUUCGCAUUUUCAAAGUAGAAGCCUGGGCAUCAGUCCAAACCCAUAAUCUGCACGAGGGCAUGUCACAACAAAUAGGAAAGGGAUAAUUAGAAUUUUAUGAAGAGUGGCUCUCUAUAAUGCUACCUACUGUUUACUUACCAACAAUUUUAAACGUAGUAACUGAUGCAUUUUAAGUAAUACAAAUUAAAAAAAAAAUCUAAGCGGCUCAUAUUUACUCUUAGUUUUGUGGGUUUUUUUUUAAAUAACCCUGUUUCCCCAGUGGGACCAAUGUGUGUGCACGUGUGUGUGCGCUCAUAAAACAGUGCUGAAAUGUAUGAGAGCGCAGGAAUGAGGCUUUAGCAGAUAACAACUCUUGAUUUUAUUAAGUGGGGUUUUUUUUCUAGAAGUCAAGGAAAGUCCAGUUCACUCAAGACAACAGCAGUGUGAGAGCCAUUCCUCUGCUUUCUAGCAGCGUGUCAGAAGAUACAAGCAAGAGACAAGUCUAAAAGCAACAUAAGACGUAACAUUUUCUUCAUUGUCUUUCAUUACAGUUCUGUAACUUAGCUUGGUAGAAUGGCUGUUGGUUUUUACCCCAGAUAGGACUCUAUUUCAGUGGUACCUAACACCUCUACAUUGUGUCCAGCAACAUAGUAAUUUGACAUAUCUUUUAGGAAAAAAAAAAGGAGCUUUAGCAAGAUACUACAUUUUACAUUAUUUAUUUGUAACUAAAAUAGCUGCACGGAUAUUCUUACCCACGGCUAAAUCUGAGACUAUUAAUCUACCCACAGCCUACAUUACACCCACACAAAGAUGUAUUUUAAAAGUGAACACACCGAAUGUAGCUCAGCAUCAAGUAUUUUUGUUUUCUUAAUAAACCCCCUGAAAUCAGCAAAAGCAACAUGUACAAGCAAAUAGUAAUCUGAUAAUUUUUCUCCAUAAAAUCAGAAAUUUCAGAAUUUUCAAAUUCUUUAUUGUUUAUUUACUUUUAACCUAAUUCACAUAAUUCAAGCAUCAUCUUUUCUUCAUAAGUAGGCAAAAACAACCACAUGAAUAAUUGCUUUCCCAAGUUUUGGUCCUUUUUGUGCAAUUGGGUCACUGGCUGUAUCUCCAUCAGCGAGUGGUGUGGUGCCAUGGAUGUGGAGGUGAGACCACAGGUGCUAGGGACCCACAUCCACAGCAUGUAUCUUUCUGCGGGGCAGCUUCCCACGAGCUCUGGUGAAGUCCCAGGGGCCAGCAUAUAAGGUGCACAGCUCUCAUGCAUUUUCAGGUUUAGCUUAACCCGAAGGGAUGCAGCUGUCAUGCUCCAAUGCUGCUCUGCAGUGUGAACUGAAGCACGAUAAGUGGAUGGUGAUGGGGAGGUUUGCUCUUUCCUGAGAACAACCAAAAGGCUGGCAUAGGUGCACCCGCUGGAUAUGACCUGCUUAUGGGCCAGCCCAUCACAGCUUGAAAGGAUAUCCAAGAAACAUCACUUUUGAUCAGUUUUUGCUAUCUGAUCACCACUGAGGCUCUAAGUGCAUAAACCACAAGGCAGGGGCAGAUCAGCCUGUGCUGGGUCCUGCAAGGAAAUCACCAGCCUCCUCCUGCCUUAACACAGCUGAACCUGGGCACUACUGUCUACUUCUUAUAACAUUUGCAGGGCCAGGCUUUGAGGGGGAAGGCAGGAAACCCUGUGUCCCAGAUGAAAGGACUGUAAAUCAUGGGGUAAAUUAUCCCUGAGCACAACUUGACAGGUAUAUGAGACAACUCAGCCUCACUCCCUGCCUGAUUUAGCUUCAGGUAUUUAAAUCCAGUCUCCUACCUAUGAGAACAGUGCUCUGAAAAAUGUUUGCCCUGCUCUCAGAAGGACUUUCUCUGUGCUUUCUCCCUGCUGUGGUAGCAUUAUGCUGCCGAGCUCUGGAUCAUCUGUGUGUGCACGCAUCCCUUAACUACCUUGUGCCAGUGUUAAGACUGGGUGGUUUAGGGAGUUGACUUAUGCCUAUAAUGGUAAUGCCAUUAGACAUCAUCAAGGUUCAAUCUGUGUGUGUAACAAAACACAUGUUGAAAUGCUGAGCUACAAGACGCUGUAAAAUCUGGAAGUAUUGCUUUGUGGUGUUAAUGAUUAUUAAUAAUAAUAAUAUGUGUAAUAGGUUUUCAUGUUGUGGACAGGGUGAAUGGCAAAAUGGAUUCAGGUCUUUUUAUUUUCUUUUCAGCUUGUUAUUAUCUAGAGAAAAAACACUAAUUACUAGAAACUAAUACCUCGUGUGUUACUUAUCCUCUUAAUUAGUACCCUAAUUAUUAAGUGCAGUGAUAACCCCUAGUUAGAACAUAUUUGCUUUUUAAGACUUUGUUUAUCUGUCUUCCC